Puntigrus tetrazona (Sumatra barb) is the source of this 386-nucleotide long non-coding RNA. RefSeq lists it as uncharacterized. The transcript has 4 exons. NCBI's taxonomy places the organism in Eukaryota, Metazoa, Chordata, Actinopteri, Cypriniformes, Cyprinidae. The record is from RefSeq and is a predicted model, not a curated record.
CUGAUGUCUUGAUGGAAUGAGAUGGAAUGUUCUGGUUUAUGGUCAAUGGAAGGUGGAUAUCUGGUAUUUCCAUCAAUGAAACCCCACUGAAGCCCACCUGGACCCUCACUGAUGAAAGUCCCAGUGUGUUUCUGAACAGAGGCUAUGAGAGUGAGAAAAAGCAUUGGAAACCAGAGACACAGAUCUUUUCAACUUUACUAAAUAGGUCACUUUGGAACUUGGACUCGAUUCAGAUUAUUUGCUCAAAAGGUCGGACACGUACCUCCAGAUAGAGCGAGGAGCUGGAGCCGUGGCUCAUGCGCUGAGCGAGGCCGUCUCUCUGGAGAAUGCAUUCCUCCAGGUGGAUGACGUUGGGAUGCUGGCUCUGGAUGCUGCUGAGGGCCCAG